Long non-coding RNA from Armigeres subalbatus, 965 nucleotides. RefSeq lists it as uncharacterized. Lineage: Eukaryota; Metazoa; Arthropoda; Insecta; Diptera; Culicidae. The record is from RefSeq and is a predicted model, not a curated record. The transcript has 3 exons.
ACCACGAAUUAGUUCCGGCGCAUUUGCAACUACCACGACGAUAAUCAAAGAAUAUAAAGAAUUAUCUGAUACAGACGACGAAAGUUAGAGUUGAGAAUAUCGUUCCGAUACGUUCCGGAAGUUCUUAUGAACCCACCAAGAUGAAUGGCGAAUUGGAUUGCAAGAACGCCUAUCGUGAAAUACUGAACCAAACAUUGAUAGCUCUGCAUGGAAUGUUCACCAAGCUGGUGUCGAUCUUUGAAAAAAAGUACCCAGUUGGGGUACGGCAGCUCUAGUGGCAACCUAUACAGUGUGAUUGUCACCACGGACAUAAUCGGCCAGAAAUUACUCCAAAGAGGUCAGUUACAAACAUGAUCAACAACGAUUCCGAUGAACAUAAUCACGAAUCGUGCGCAAAAAUUGAGCAAAAACUGCAUUGAUGUGUGCAAACUAAGACCGUCAGUUAGAACCAGCGAUAAAUUUCGUGUCUGGAUACUCUUUCCUAGAGAAUCCCAGUGGAAUAUAAUCUGGGAAUGUUGGACAAGGAGAUCAAUCAGAAACAAAUGCUUUUGGCGUGGAAGGCUAAAUAUCAGCAUGUUUGUUUUGAGAUCAGCCAAUUGCGGCGUCCAUCGAUACGAUCAGUUGUAGCAAUAAUUGAAUACACCUUAUAAACUAUGAACUGCAAAUCUACAGCAGCACACUACUCUCGGGAACCCAUGCUCAGCUGAAACCCCGGACAGCGUUGACUUUAUGAAUAUUUAUUUCAAAAAUAAGGAAUAAGUCGUUCUGGUGCCAGAAAUAUGCCGCUAUUUAUUCGAUGUUGAUUAUUAUUACCUUAGUUGCUUUUGUAGAUUAUGUUAGAAGGUUUUUGUUACAAAUUUUUUUAAGUAACCGAACGUUAGCUAUUUUCUUAAUGUUCAUGAAAAAUAAAAAUGUUCAACCAAAGUUUUUGUUUUUGUAAACAACAUUUCCAAACAAAACAAAAU